UAACCAGUACAGUUAAUGUCUAUCCCUAAGCUCUCUUGUAGUAGAACCAAAACCAUUUCCUGACUGAGAGUAAAAACCAAUGGGGUUCUUCUUGGUUGAUCUAGACAAGAUAUCAGUUGCCCUAUUUGCUUACAACUUAAUCUCCCAACUUUGGACCAACAGCUCGCAAAUAUCCUAUACAAGCUACCAGGUACCUUGUUUUGCUCUUUUCAUAUGCAUUUCAUGUUAGUCUUGAAGUAACGCCUUUCCUUUCAAUCUAGUUACAUCUUAUACAAGCUCGUGCUGCUAGUUUCCCACUUCUCUUCCAAUGUGGCAUAGGAUAGGAGUAAUACUUCAUUUCAUAUCUCCUUAGAAAAGGACACCCAAAGAAAAUGUGGCUUUUGGUUUCUUGUUCCACAUGACAAAUUUCAUUAAUGUGUGCCUUUGGUAUGUAGUCUGUCACGAAUGACCAUCCAAAUUAUGAAAUGAAUGCUUUCAAAUAUGAACUGAGAACCACAAAACCAAUUUUGUCCCAUUCCACAUGUUCUUAACAUACUCAUAUUUUCUCCUCAAAAUUUAGCCACUAUAUAUUUGUCACUAGGGAACCUCCAAACAACACAAUUCUAAAACACAAUUUUUUUUUGCAACAUCAUGCAUUUGUAACAAGUUCCUCCAAAUCCAACUAUAAUUCCAAGUAAUUAACACCAUGUUUGGUUGACAUGAAUAACCAAACGAUUCCUGGCUGAUUUGGUGAUAAACAGUUAUUCAUUAGUUUGAUUCACUGAAUCCUUCAUUCUACGAAAUCUCAUUCAUUACCCAUUCCACCUUCUCCCGUAAUGGCCAUUCCCCACCAAACCCAAAGAAUAGGACAAACGAUUCCUGGCUGAUUCGGUGAUAAACAAUUAUUCAUUAGUUUGAUUCACUAGGGGUGAGCAUUUGAUCGAAUCGAAUCGAAUCGAAUCGAAAAUUUUCAAGUUAAUCGAGUUUUCAAAUCUCAUUUUAUCAUCCUAACUUUAUUUGAAGUUUUCUCGAAUCGAGUCGAGUGAGAUGGAAUUCGAAUCGAAUCGAAUCGAAUCGAAUAUAUUUGUUCGAAUUAAAAUUUAAAAAAUAAUUUAGGUCCUUGUAACCACUGUCACCCAUCGUAAUAAAAUUUGUCCACCUUAAUCAAAUUUUUUAUUAACUUUCAUCACCUCAUAAUUUAUUUAUUAAUUUUUUAUAUACUAGUUAGCUUAUUUGUUUGCUUAGUUGUUUCAAUUAUCAUCAGAUUCUUGUCACUAUGUAUUUUGGAAUUAAAAAAUAUAUUAAAUAUAAAAAAAUGAUUUUUUAAUAAAAGUUAUUUUAAAAAUAAAAUGUGAAAUUGUUACCAAUAUAAAAUUUUAACACGAAUAUUUUAUGGCAUAAUUAAGAAUUCAAUUUUAAUAUAAAUAUUCAAUAUGACUAAACAAUUCAAUAAUAUAAAUAAUAUAAAAUAUGAAAUUUAAUUUAAUAAUAUAAAUAGUAUAUAUAAAUAAAAUUAGUACUAUUUAUGUUUAGUGAUUUUUUUGGAUAAUUUUGAUUUUUUAUUUGAGAGUAAAGGGUGAGAAGUAAAAGUUUAGGGGGAAAAUAAAAAGUUUUGGGAAUAAAAGUUUGAGGGAAAGUAAAUAGGGGGAGUAAAAUUUUGGAGGGAAAAUAUUAAAAAAAAUUGGAAGGGGGAGGGUUUGGGGUAGAUGGGAGGUGGGAUGGGAAGAGAAUAAAAGUUUUAGGGGAAAAGUGGGAGGGAGUAAAAAUUUUGGGGGAGAAUAAAAGGUUUUGAGGGUUUUUGAGAGUAAAAUUUUGAGAAAAAGUAAAUGAAGAGUAAAAUUUUGGUGGGAAACGGAUUUUGGGUAGAUUGGGGGGUUGGGAGGGGAGGAGAGUAAAAGUUUUUGGGGAAAGUGGGAAAGAGUAAAGUUUGAGGGAAAAGUAAAAAAGUUUGGGAGUUUAGGGUAAAAAUGUAAAAUAUUAUAGUUUGAUACUCGAAUUAUUCGAAUUAUUCGAGUUAUUCGAAUUCGAAAACUCAACUCGAUUUGAACUCGAAAUUCGAAAAAAAUUCGAAUUGAUUCGAAUAACUCGAUUAACUCGAAUAACUCGAUUCGUUUAACUCGAAAUUCGAAUUUUUUUCAAUUUUUUCGAGUCGAAUCGAGUUUUGCUCACCCCUAUGAUUCACUGAAUCCUUCAUUCGACGAAAUCUCAUUCAUCACCCAUUCCACCUUCUCCCGUAAUGCCCAUCCCCCACCAAACCCAAAGAAUAGGACUACACAACCACCACCGAAUAAAGAAAAAACAUAACCUCCCAUUCUUACCCUUUACCACUCUCCUUCAUCAAACACCUCAAGCCACCACACCCCCAGCCCUAUCUCCUCAUUCCCGUUCGGUUAUUCUCAUCCUACGACGAUCUUCGAAAUUGUCAAAAGCUUCCCCAAAGCUGAGAAUUUCAUCUCUUUGCUUCUUUGCUUGUAUUCACUAGUAGGGAGCUGUGAAAAAAAAAUGAGUUUUCGAAAAAAAAAUUUGGUCAAUUGGUUGAUCCGAUUGUUUUAGGGCAAUUUAGGUUAGAAAUGUAAGCUUUUUGUUUUCAAAUUGCAUUUGGUUUUUAUGGGCAUUUCUGUUUAUUGCAAGAGAUUUUAGGUUGCUUGUCUCAAUAGCAAGGGAUUUCAAUUUUAGGUUGGUAUUUGUUGUUUGUGGUAAAUGGGUAGUUGGGAUUUUAGAUUUUAAGCUCUGAAUCAGUUACAAAUUCUUUUAGCAAAAAAAAAAGUGAGACAUGGGAGAUGAGGAAAUCGUUCAAGGAUUCUCUCAAGAAUCUUGAAGCUGAUAUUCAUUUCGCCUAUACCUUAUAAUUUCUUAUUUCUUUUUCUUUUCCUAGGCUUUCUGUAGAUGAGCAUGAUUCAUCAUGAUUUUUUUCUGUAGAUAGCAAGGGAUUUCAAUUUCAGGUUGGGAUUUUUUGGGAUUGUAUCUACAAAGACUACAAUUUUUUUCUAUUCGAUAUUUGCUCUAUCAGUGCAUCAGUGAUUUCCUUUUGGAUUCUUCUUUUGAUUUGAGCCUUCCUAGUUUAAUUUUUUUUAUUUUGGCUUUUUUGUUUGUUUUAGGUUUGAAGUUAAAUUUUAUUUUGUAGCGAAGUUCAUUACUCUGCUGCUUGAAUUUGCUUCUUUUCAUAUUUGUUAGAAUGUAAAAUGUUCGAUCAUUUGCCUCAAUGAAAAUUGAACCUUGUUUGCAUAUUUGGGUUUUCAUCUUCGAUGUCGUUGUUUCUUCCUUUGAUGUUGUUGGUCUAGUAAAACCUUCCAUGAUAUGGAAUAAUAUUAUUGAAAAAGUGUUUACUCUGCUUACAGAGCUUAUUGAGAUGCUUACAUGGAAUUCUUGCUUCUCUUUACUUCAUCAUUUGAACUGCAUGGUGAAGAUAAACUAUAAGAGACAAAGUUAGAAGUUGGGUUUCAUUUAAUAUUAUAUUAACUUGAGAAUUUAGGCCGAAGCCCUUGUGUUUUAUGAUAUGACAAUUACUUUAUUUGCUAUAUACAUUUGCAACAUAUCCUCAAGAAUUCAGAUACAUCUCCUCUGCAUCAACUCAAUUGAAACACUGUUUCUUAUCUUUUUCUUUGUUAUGAAAACACCCAUUUCGUGAGUGAAUGAGGGGUAGAAGAAUCAAAUAAUGGGAACUUAUUUAGGUUCAAGUAUGUAAAUAUACAUAUUUCGAGUUGACCUUGAGAUGUUUAAAUGAAGGUUUAGGCCAUUCAUUUUGUUAUGUUCAACCUUUCUAUAGUCGAUUCUCCUACCAUUACACCAUCGAAUUAUUAGCAUCUAGGGUAAAAUUGUGUUAGUUCAAUCUUCAUAUUUAAGUUGCACAGAUGUAUGAUGUCUAAGAAGCACCAUGUCUUUUGAGCCCUAAUUGCUUUAAGAUUAUCAAUGUCUGAAUUCCUAAGCACCAUUUACUUAUAUUUUGUUGUACCAGAUAUUAUUUUUUUCACGUGGGUCAGCUUUGUUUGCGAACGAAUGCUACUCUUCACUUCUUUUGGUUUCAUGUAAUUUUAGGCUUCGUCAUAGAGGACAAUGAACC
Molecule: long non-coding RNA, 4039 nt
Filed under: Gossypium barbadense (sea-island cotton)
Lineage: Eukaryota; Viridiplantae; Streptophyta; Magnoliopsida; Malvales; Malvaceae
Description: long non-coding RNA (GBAR_LNC015407)
Source: RNAcentral